AUGAACGCUGGCGGCGUGCCUAAUACCUGCAAGUCGCGCGAACAGACGAGGAGCUUGCUCCUCUGACGUUAGCGGCGGACGGGUGAGUAACACGUGGAUAACCUACCUAAAGACUGGGAUAACUUCGGGAAACCGGAGCUAAUACCGGAUAAUAUAUUGAACCGCAUGGUUCAAUAGUGAAAGACGGUUUUGCUGUCACUUAUAGAUGGAUCCGCGCCGCAUUAGCUAGUUGGUAAGGUAACGGCUUACCAAGGCAACGAUGCGUAGCCGACCUGAGAGGGUGAUCGGCCACACUGGAACUGAGACACGGUCCAGACUCCUACGGGAGGCAGCAGUAGGGAAUCUUCCGCAAUGGGCGAAAGCCUGACGGAGCAACGCCGCGUGAGUGAUGAAGGUCUUCGGAUCGUAAAACUCUGUUAUUAGGGAAGAACAAAUGUGUAAGUAACUAUGCACGUCUUGACGGUACCUAAUCAGAAAGCCACGGCUAACUACGUG
Molecule: ribosomal RNA, 495 nt
Filed under: uncultured bacterium
Lineage: Bacteria
Description: partial 16S ribosomal RNA
Rfam family: Bacterial small subunit ribosomal RNA
Source: RNAcentral